RNAcentral lists this ribosomal RNA (301 nucleotides) under uncultured bacterium. RNAcentral's name for it is "partial 16S ribosomal RNA". It matches the Rfam family "Bacterial small subunit ribosomal RNA", at positions 509 to 807 of the family's 1533-position model. The record is from RNAcentral.
CAGUCGCCACGGUAAUACGUAGGUGGCAAGCGUUGUCCGGAAUUAUUGGGCGUAAAGGGCUCGCAGGCGGUUUCUUAAGUCUGAUGUGAAAGCCCCCGGCUCAACCGGGGAGGGUCAUUGGAAACUGGGAAACUUGAGUGCAGAAGAGGAGAGUGGAAUUCCACGUGUAGCGGUGAAAUGCGUAGAGAUGUGGAGGAACACCAGUGGCGAAGGCGACUCUCUGGUCUGUAACCGACGCUGAGGAGCGAAAGCGUAGGGAGCGAACAGGAUUAGAUACCCCCGUAGUCCCUGUCUCUUAUAC